GAGUGAAAAAGAACCUGAAACCGUGUACGUACAAGCAGUGGGAGCCUCUUAAUGGGGUGACUGCGUACCUUUUGUAUAAUGGGUCAGCGACUUAUAUUCUGUAGCAAGGUUAACCGAAUAGGGGAGCCGAAGGGAAACCGAGUCUUAACUGGGCGUUAAGUUGCAGGGUAUAGACCCGAAACCCGGUGAUCUAGCCAUGGGCAGGUUGAAGGUUGGGUAACACUAACUGGAGGACCGAACCGACUAAUGUUGAAAAAUUAGCGGAUGACUUGUGGCUGGGGGUGAAAGGCCAAUCAAACCGGGAGAUAGCUGGUUCUCCCCGAAAGCUAUUUAGGUAGCGCCUCGUGAAUUCAUCUCCGGGGGUAGAGCACUGUUUCGGCAAGGGGGUCAUCCCGACUUACCAACCCGAUGCAAACUGCGAAUACCGGAGAAUGUUAUCACGGGAGACACACGGCGGGUGCUAACGUCCGUCGUGAAGAGGGAAACAACCCAGACCGCCAGCUAAGGUCCCAAAGUCAUGGUUAAGUGGGAAACGAUGUGGGAAGGCCCAGACAGCCAGGAUGUUGGCUUAGAAGCAGCCAUCAUUUAAAGAAAGCGUAAUAGCUCACUGGUCGAGU
RNAcentral lists this ribosomal RNA (617 nucleotides) under Escherichia coli. RNAcentral describes it as "partial 23S ribosomal RNA". It matches the Rfam family "Bacterial large subunit ribosomal RNA", at positions 536 to 1154 of the family's 2925-position model. Lineage: Bacteria; Pseudomonadati; Pseudomonadota; Gammaproteobacteria; Enterobacterales; Enterobacteriaceae. The record is from RNAcentral.